Ribosomal RNA from Cercocebus atys (sooty mangabey), 99 nucleotides. The record is from Ensembl. NCBI's taxonomy places the organism in Eukaryota, Metazoa, Chordata, Mammalia, Primates, Cercopithecidae.
GUCUGUAGCCAUGCCACCCUGAUCUUGGAAGCUAAGCAAAGUUGGGCCUGGCUAGUAGUUGGAUGAAAGACCAUCUUGGAAUGCUGGAAGCUGUAGGCU